Molecule: ribosomal RNA, 468 nt
Filed under: uncultured bacterium
Lineage: Bacteria
Description: partial 16S ribosomal RNA
Rfam family: Bacterial small subunit ribosomal RNA
Source: RNAcentral
GACGAACGCUGGCGGCGUGCUUAACACAUGCAAGUCGAACGGAAAGGCCCUGCGUUUGUGCGGUGCCCGAGUGGCGGACGGGUGAGUAACACGUGAGUAACCUGCCCUUGACUUUCGGAUAACUUCAGGAAACUGAGGCUAAUACAGGAUAGGAGCUCCUGCUGCAUGGUGGGGGGGGGAAAGUUUCGGCGGUUGGGGAUGGACGCGCGGCUUAUCAGCUUGUUGGUGGGGUGGUGGCUUACCAAGGCUUUGGCGGGUAGCCGGCCUGAGAGGGUGACCGGCGACAUUGGGACUGAGGUAGGGCCCAGACUCCUACGGGAGGCAACAGUGGGGAAUAUUGCCCAGUGGGCGGGAGCCUGAUGAGGCGGCGCCGCGUGCGGGAUGACGGCCUUCGGGUAGUGAACCGCUUUCGCCUGUGACGAAGCGGGGGUGACGGUAAUGGGUAAAGAAGCACCGGCUAACUACGUG